UUUCUCAUGGCCAUGUGGGCAGCCUUCACAUUAGGUUCUCUCCACCUUUUUUUUCUUGUCUGUUUACUUCUCUUAUUUAUAAGAGAAAACCCUAGCCUUAUAUUUAUACUAGGGCUUAAAAAGAAACAAUAAUUUAUGCAAGGCACAAGCCCUUUAAUGCAUAAUUUCUGUAUCACCAUCUAAGCCCAAAGUCAAUUAGAUA
This 202-nucleotide long non-coding RNA is filed under the name Elaeis guineensis (African oil palm). RNAcentral's name for it is "long non-coding RNA (EGUI_LNC048551)". Lineage: Eukaryota; Viridiplantae; Streptophyta; Magnoliopsida; Arecales; Arecaceae. The record is from RNAcentral.